CCCAUCUCGCCUCCAUAUCACUUCCAAUCCAUUGUCCAUGGUACUAGCGAGAAUCUGUAGAUCCUAAACUCCAUUUUCCUUAAUCAAUACCAUAACGUUCCAUUCAGACGUCAUGAUGUGAUAAUCUCCUUAAGAGUUGCAGCAGAACAAAAACAGAUUUAUAUGAAGCUCCAUUAUGCUCCAAUAUGCAAACCCUUUCUUUAUUAAUUUCAAAGUUAACUUUAUUUCUUAAAUUUUACUAAACCCUUCACCUUUACUCGCUACCCAAACUAGAGAGAACAUUUUACUCUGUUUUUAUUUUCCCUCUCUACCUUCCUUUCAAAUUCCCAUUUACAUGGAAUAAAGAUUUCUCACUCAUCAAUUUGUGCAAUUAGUCCCAUUUUAGCAGAAGUAAAGUUGUGAAUAACUUUUUUCGCUGCACCUAAAGGCUUUUUAACUAGGACUCUGCAAAUAGUAAACUAGUAGAGAGAGCAAGUCUAGUCUUGAAGCUGUCAAGUAUAGUAAGCUUCCAAGAUUAUUUCCAUGCUAAUUAAUGAUCAUCUCCAUUAAUUUAAUGAAAGCAACAUAAAAUGUAUAAGAAGAAAAGAAUUGUUGGCAAAAGUGAAUUAAUUAGAAAUCCAUUUAAAGCAAUAGAAGUCAUUCUUUUAUUAAAUGAAGCUGAAUGCUGCAUUGAGUUUAUAAUGAAAUGUGCUUUUGAGUUGAUCAUCCCUAAGCCAUUUUGUACAUCUCAUUGUUCCAAAUUACGAUUACGUGCAAUUGGAAGGGGAAAUUGGAAAACAAAUUCUAUUGGAUGGAAUCGCAGAUGCAGUGCACGUGGAAAGGCAGUAUAUAAUUACAACAGGACUAUCCAAAAAGAAAAACAGCAAUGUGAAAGAGACAUAUUUAUGAGAAAGGCCAAAGAGUAACAACUUGAACAU
RNAcentral lists this unclassified non-coding RNA (917 nucleotides) under Hevea brasiliensis (rubber tree). The record is from RNAcentral. Lineage: Eukaryota; Viridiplantae; Streptophyta; Magnoliopsida; Malpighiales; Euphorbiaceae.